RNAcentral lists this long non-coding RNA (719 nucleotides) under Gossypium raimondii (Peruvian cotton). RNAcentral describes it as "long non-coding RNA (GRAI_LNC006485)". Lineage: Eukaryota; Viridiplantae; Streptophyta; Magnoliopsida; Malvales; Malvaceae. The record is from RNAcentral.
GCAAAUUAACCAUUUGGCCAGAACGCGCGGAUCCUCCCCUCCGGGUCGGGUCACCGCGCGGGUCUGGUCAUUAAAACGGCGCCGUUUCAUGUGCUGCAUAAAUAAAACAGAAUUGAAAGAAAAAAAACAUUUGGUUCCUUUUUAAAAAAAAAACAAAGUGUGGCUCUGCUAGGGUUCUUUUAACCCAUUCCGCGCCGUCGCCCAUCUGCCCCUUCACCAAAGCUCCGAUGACGGCGGAGAUGGUGGUGGCACGGCGACCUCGACGAACAGGUAAGUGUUUUUCCCUUCUUUUCUUUGUUGUUUUAGGUAAAAUAAAUAAAAAAAUAAAGAAAAUAAAAAGAAAUAUAUAAACAAAAAGAACAGUGAAUACUACAAAAUAAAAACCUUUGAAAAAAACAAAUUUCCUUUGUAUUUCUCUGUAUUUUUCCUUCUAUUCUCGUAUCUCUUUUCACUACAAUCCCCCCCUUUUGAGUACAUGAAAUAGCGCUUUUAUAGCCCGAAAAUUGUUUGCUAUUUUACAUGUUUUCUUCUAUUGGACUCUUUAAUCCGUGUUUGCAGGUGAAAGUGGAGAUUUCAGCGCGCGCAGAGGUGGUCGACUCCGGAUCUUGCGGCGGCUGGAGAAGUUGCUGUUGGGAUUUGCAGCUAACUGCUUAGGGUUUCUGUUUUGGGGGUUUGGGCUGUUAAUUGGGCCUGUUUUGAGUGGGUCUGGGCAUUAUUGG